AGUAACACGUAUGCAAUCCACCUGUAACAGGGGGAGUAACCCGGAGAAAUCCGGACUAAUACCCCAUAAUAUGGGCGCUCCGCAUGGAGAGUCCAUUAAAGAGAGCAAUCUUGGUUACAGACGAGCAUGCGCUCCAUUAGCCAGUUGGCGGGGUAACGGCCCACCAAGGCGACGAUCGGUAGCCGGACUGGGAGGCUGAACGGCCACAUUGGGACUGAGACACGGCCCAG
Molecule: ribosomal RNA, 230 nt
Filed under: uncultured bacterium
Lineage: Bacteria
Description: partial 16S ribosomal RNA
Rfam family: Bacterial small subunit ribosomal RNA
Source: RNAcentral